RNAcentral lists this ribosomal RNA (377 nucleotides) under uncultured bacterium. Its description in RNAcentral is "bacterial SSU rRNA". It matches the Rfam family "Bacterial small subunit ribosomal RNA", at positions 521 to 896 of the family's 1533-position model. The record is from RNAcentral.
UAAUACGGAGGGUGCGAGCGUUGUCCGGAAUCACUGGGCGUAAAGGGCGCGUAGGCGGCCGCGUAAGCGUGUGGUGAAAGCUCGGGGCUCAACCCCGAGUCGGCCAUGCGAACUGUGCGGCUCGAGCCCACUAGAGGCAGGCGGAAUUCCGGGUGUAGCGGUGGAAUGCGUAGAGAUCCGGAAGAACACCGGUGGCGAAGGCGGCCUGCUGGGGUGGAGCUGACGCUGAGGCGCGACAGCGUGGGGAGCAAACAGGAUUAGAUACCCUGGUAGUCCACGCCGUAAACGAUGGGCACUAGGUGCUCGGGGGAGCGACCCUCCGGGUGCCGGCGCUAACGCAUUAAGUGCCCCGCCUGGGGAGUACGGCCGCAAGGCUG